Small nuclear RNA from Sorex araneus (European shrew), 191 nucleotides. RefSeq annotates it as U2 spliceosomal RNA. The record is from RefSeq and is a predicted model, not a curated record. The transcript has a single exon. NCBI's taxonomy places the organism in Eukaryota, Metazoa, Chordata, Mammalia, Eulipotyphla, Soricidae.
CCUGCUUCUCGGCCUUUUAGCUAAGAUCAAGUGUAGUAUCUCUUCUUAUCCGCUUAGUAUCGGAUACGUCCUCUAUCCAAGGACAAUAUAUUAAAUAGAUUUUUGGAACUAUGAGUUGGAAUAGGAGCUUGCUCCACCCACUCCACACAUCACUCUGGCAUUGCAGUUCCUCCAGGAAUGGUGCACAAGAA